This is a non-coding RNA of Klebsiella pneumoniae subsp. pneumoniae, 361 nucleotides long. NCBI's taxonomy places the organism in Bacteria, Pseudomonadati, Pseudomonadota, Gammaproteobacteria, Enterobacterales, Enterobacteriaceae. The record is from Rfam.
AUCACUUUUUAGCAAAGUUGCACUGGACAAAAGGUACCACAAUUGGUGUACUGAUACCCGACACAGCAUUAGUGUCGAUUUUUCAUAUAAAGGUAAUUUUGAUGUCUAAGAUUAAAGGUAACGUUAAGUGGUUUAAUGAGUCCAAAGGAUUCGGUUUCAUUACUCCGGAAGAUGGCAGCAAAGAUGUAUUCGUACACUUCUCUGCAAUCCAGUCCAACGGUUUCAAAACUCUGGCUGAAGGUCAGCGCGUAGAGUUCGAAAUCACUAACGGUGCCAAAGGCCCUUCUGCUGCAAACGUCAUCGCUCUGUAAGCAACGCGUCAGUAGAAUAUAAAAACCCGCUAAUAAGCGGGUUUUUUUUU